CAAACUCAGAUGUUGAGCGUGAAGGAUAACGUUGCGUCAGCAACGGCCCGAAGGGCGAGGCGAAGCCGAGUCAUCCUGCACGACCCACCA
RNAcentral lists this small RNA (90 nucleotides) under Salmonella enterica subsp. enterica serovar Agona. RNAcentral describes it as "partial RtT sRNA". It matches the Rfam family "RtT RNA", at positions 49 to 130 of the family's 130-position model. Rfam says of the family: This family represents a bacterial cis-regulatory element known as RtT RNA. The exact function of RtT is unknown although it is thought that it may be involved in changing the cellular response in relation to amino acid starvation. The record is from RNAcentral. Lineage: Bacteria; Pseudomonadati; Pseudomonadota; Gammaproteobacteria; Enterobacterales; Enterobacteriaceae. RNAcentral also lists the same sequence under 1 other name.